This is a long non-coding RNA of Marmota monax (woodchuck), 2447 nucleotides long. RefSeq lists it as uncharacterized. The record is from RefSeq and is a predicted model, not a curated record. The transcript is spliced from 3 exons. NCBI's taxonomy places the organism in Eukaryota, Metazoa, Chordata, Mammalia, Rodentia, Sciuridae.
GAAGGGAUGUGGCUUGGUGAGGUUUUUCUUUUUUUUUUGGAACUGGGGAUUUAAUCCAGGGGUGCUUUACCACUGAGCCAAAUCCCAGCCCUUUUUGUUUUUAUUUUUUGAUUUUGAGACAGGGUCUCAGUAAAUUGUUUAGGGCCUUGCUAAAUUGAUGAGGCUGGCCUCCAAUUUUCAAUCCUCCUGCCUCAGCCGCAAAGCCACCGGGAUUACACACGUGCCCCACUGCACUCCACUUGGUGAGGUUUUAAUGUCUUCCCAGGUUAAAAUAAAAAGUUAAUCAUCUCCUAAGCACCCUCCCUUUUUUAAACAAAUUUUUACUUUGGUAAUAGAUUCAAGUUCACAGAGAAACUGGGACAGUAGUAGAAGGUUCCCACACACCGUCCCCCAACUUCCCCUAUGACGCCGUCUCCCAUGAGCUGGGUGCCUUAGCACAAUUAAUGAACCAACACGGUAACCUGGGGACAGAAAGCCACGCCGCGGGGUGUGCCACUUGGCAUGCUGCACACUCUGCACCGAAGGACACCAGAGGACCUCGGUGGCCCAGUCUCUCUGGCCUCCACCCUGUCCUUCUGUCUCCUGCACCCACAAGGUGGGACAGAGAAACAGACCCCUCCCCAAAGCCGGCCUCGGGGACCCCCCUCCAACCUUCCCAACCUGCAGAGGAGCUGCCAGAGAGGGCGCCCCACCCCCUGUGUGCCAGGAGAGGAUCAGACCCUGGGCCCGGGGCCUGCGCCAAGCCCAGGAGGAGGAGGCCCACAGGGAGGCCCGGGAGCCGCUGAGCAGUCACCAAAUCUGAGCAUUAAAAUGGCGGCUGCCUCCGCGUCUUUGGUUCUAGAUUUUGGAAGCCCCCUCUGUCACCUGGGGUUCUGAUUCCGUGAAUCUGCUCUGCUUGUCUCCUCGACUGUCCUGGGAUGAAGUGUCACCUGGACCUUUCCGCCACUGCCCUCCGUGAUCACCAACUCGAGAAGCUCCCCUCCCUCUGCUCUAAGACCCCACCUAGAGACUGGGUCUCCAUCUGGAUUCCUCUUGUGUUUUGCUUUGUUCUUUAUUUUUUGCAGUCCCGCGGAUGGAACCCAGGGGCGCUCGCCUCUGGGCCACAUCCCCCGCCCUUUUCAUUCUAUUCUGAGACGGGGUCUGGCUGGGCAGUCCAGGCUGGCCUCGAACUUGAGACCCUGCCGCCUCAGCCUCCUGUGUGCCACGCGCCCGGCCUGGCUUGUUCUCCUAGUGACCAGGGUAAUGGUUUGGAGAGGACCUGAGAGGCAGAGAGUUCUUCCCAUGGCCACGGCACGUCACGUGGAGGCCACAGACCUCAAGGUGUUCCAGGUGACUCAUGACUGUUCCAGUUGACCUUGACCAUCCGGCUGAGCCAGCUGUGCCCCCCAAAGCUGCUGCUGCCCCAGCCACCAGCACCAUCGUGCCCCGGGGACACCACCAGGCCGUGGGGAGCACCUCACAGGCACCCACGGCUGCCCCCAGAACCUCCAGGUCUCAGACGGUCAGGAGGCCACCUGCGCCCAGCCCUACGCCCUCUGCCCAGGGCCCGGCGGGCUCAGCACCAGAGGCCUGCGGAGGGCACUCUGGGAUGGGCUCGGCGUCGCCUGUGCCGUGAGGCCGAGCGGUGUCUGCGGGUCGGAGGGGGAGACAGGAAGACGCUCUUUACACGGGUGGCCUGCAGCCCGGUAAUGACACGGAACCAAGAGCAACAGCAAAAGUGACAGGCGACAGAGAAGGAAGGAAAUACAGCACCGGGUCGCAGACGCGCCAGCGCCUGAAGUCCCGCAGCCGGGGUGUCCCGACUGGGAAGUCCCAGCGGCCGCUCUCCACGGGUGACACUCUGAAGUCCUAGUCCCAGAGGGCCCCUUCCACACACGUUGGAACAAAGGAAGCUCCCUGACCUAGCGACCCCCUCAAGGACACACUUCACGUCCCCAAGACUGGCCAGAUCCCCCCAGGGAGGGAGUGACGGCCCUUGGGAUGACCUGGAGCCCUCUGUACCACCGGGACCGGCUCAGCGAGCCCAGGCGGCCCAGCGCCCAGCCCUGCGACAGCAGCGCCCCCUGCCGGCCGCGGGCCUCUGGACGCCCUCUCAGCGCCUCCCUCGCUCUCUGCCUCCCCCUGCAGGCCAUCUCGGGAAGGGCGGCUCGCAGUGGGUCCCGAUGGUCAGAGCCAGGCCCUGGGCUCAGGUGGACCUGGGUUCCAUUCUCAGCCCCACCACUUACUCAGGGAGCCUCAAGUGUCUACAGAAAUCCUCAAACUUUAGUUCAAAGCUUGUCAUUUGUAAAAUGCACGUGAAUUUUUAAAAAAUAUACUUUUGGUGGAGACGUAAAACCCUUGCUGGGGAGCGCCGCCUGGCACGUGCCGGCCCUGGGUCCCAUCCUCAGCCUCAUAAAACUAAAUAAGUAGAAUAAAGGUAUGUGUCCAGCUGCAACUAAAAAAUAAAA